RNAcentral lists this ribosomal RNA (505 nucleotides) under uncultured bacterium. RNAcentral's name for it is "bacterial SSU rRNA". It matches the Rfam family "Bacterial small subunit ribosomal RNA", at positions 1 to 525 of the family's 1533-position model. The record is from RNAcentral.
UUAGAGUUUGAUCAUGGCUCAGGACGAACGCUGGCGGCGUGCUUAACACAUGCAAGUCGAGCGGUAAGGCCCUUUCGGGGGUACACGAGCGGCGAACGGGUGAGUAACACGUGAGCAAUCUGCCCUUCACUUUGGGAUAACUACCGGAAACGGUGGCUAAUACCGAAUAUGACCACUUCACGCAUGUGAUGGUGGUGGAAAGUUCCGGCGGUGAAGGAUGAGCUCGCGGCCUAUCAGCUUGUUGGUGGGGUAAUGGCCCACCAAGGCAACGACGGGUAGCCGGCCUGAGAGGGUGACCGGCCACACUGGGACUGAGACACGGCCCAGACUCCUACGGGAGGCAGCAGUGGGGAAUAUUGGACAAUGGGCGAAAGCCUGAUCCAGCAACGCCGCGUGAGGGAUGACGGCCUUCGGGUUGUAAACCUCUUUCAGUACCGACGAAGCGCAAGUGACGGUAGGUACAGAAGAAGCACCGGCCAACUACGUGCCAGCAGCCGCGGUAAUA